GAGGGUAUAGCUCACGUGGUAGAGCGCAUGCUUAACAUGCAUGAGGUCCUGGGUUCGAUCCCCAGUACCUCCU
RNAcentral lists this transfer RNA (73 nucleotides) under Camelus bactrianus (Bactrian camel). It matches the Rfam family "tRNA". Rfam says of the family: Transfer RNA (tRNA) molecules are approximately 80 nucleotides in length. Their secondary structure includes four short double-helical elements and three loops (D, anti-codon, and T loops). RNAcentral also lists the same sequence under 2 other names. Lineage: Eukaryota; Metazoa; Chordata; Mammalia; Artiodactyla; Camelidae. The record is from Rfam by way of RNAcentral.